GAUGAAGAACGCAGCGAAAUGCGAUAAGUAGUGUGAAUUGCAGAAUUCAGUGAAUCAUCGAAUCUUGAACGCACAUUGCGCCCUUUGGCAUUCCGAAGGGCAUACCUGUUCGAGCGUCAUUGCACCUCUCAAGCACAGCUUGGUGUUGGGCGCCUGUCCCCGCGUUUGCGCGGUGGACUCGCCUGAAAAGCAUCGGCGUCCGGCGGCUGGUCUUGCGCGUAGCAGAUUGUUCGCACAAGGACCGGGCCGCGGGGCUGCCGCACACGUCUUUGAUUCUUAGUUUGACCUCGGAUCAGGUAGGGAUACCCGCUGAACUUAAGCAUAUCAAUAAGCGGAGGA
RNAcentral lists this unclassified non-coding RNA (339 nucleotides) under soil metagenome. Its description in RNAcentral is "partial contains 5.8S ribosomal RNA, internal transcribed spacer 2, and large subunit ribosomal RNA". The stretch from base 1 to 119 matches the Rfam family "5.8S ribosomal RNA", at positions 35 to 154 of the family's 154-position model. The record is from RNAcentral.